CGCUGGCGGCGUGCCUAACACAUGCAAGUCGAACGAGGUCCAUCCUUCGGGAGAAGACCUAGUGGCGAACGGGUGAGUAACACGUGAAGAACCUGCCCCGAAGACCGGGAUAACCCUCCGAAAGGAGAGCUAAUACCGGAUACCCCCACCGAACCGCAUGGUUUGGUGAGGAAAUGGAUUCCGCUUCGGGAGGGCUUCGCGGCCUAUCAGCUAGUUGGUGGGGUAACGGCCCACCAAGGCAUCGACGGGUAGCUGGUCUGAGAGGACGAUCAGCCACACUGGGACUGAGACACGGCCCAGACUCCUACGGGAGGCAGCAGUGGGAAUCUUGCGCAAUGGGCGAAAGCCUGACGCAGCAACGCCGCGUGGGGAUGAAGGCUCUCGGGUUGUAAACCCCUUUCAGCAGGGACGAAUCAAGACGGUACCUGCAGAAGAAGCCCCGGCUAACUACGUG
This 454-nucleotide ribosomal RNA is filed under the name uncultured bacterium. RNAcentral describes it as "bacterial SSU rRNA". It matches the Rfam family "Bacterial small subunit ribosomal RNA", at positions 34 to 507 of the family's 1533-position model. The record is from RNAcentral.